RNAcentral lists this unclassified non-coding RNA (307 nucleotides) under plant metagenome. RNAcentral's name for it is "partial contains 5.8S ribosomal RNA, internal transcribed spacer 2, and large subunit ribosomal RNA". The stretch from base 1 to 105 matches the Rfam family "5.8S ribosomal RNA", at positions 50 to 154 of the family's 154-position model. The record is from RNAcentral.
GAAAUGCGAUAAUUAAUUUGAAUUGCAGAAUUCCUUGACUCCUCUCAUCUUUGAACGCACAUUGCGCCCGCCAGCACUCUGGCGGGCAUGCCUGUUCGAGCGUCAUUUCAACCCUCAGAACCCCUUGCGGGAUCUGGCGUUGGGGAUUGGCAUCCAGCCAGCCCCGAAAUCUAGUGGCGGUCCCUCCGCGACCUCCCCUGUGCAGUAGCGAUACCUCGCAGCGGGACAGCGGUCUGACCACGCCGUAAAACCCCCAACUUCUCAAGGUUGACCUCGAAUCAGGUAGGAAUACCCGCUGAACUUAAGC